UUACGACUACAUAUCAGGCAUAUCAAUAAGCGGAGGAAAAGAAACUAACAAGGAUUCCCUUAGUAACGGCGAGUGAAGCGGGAAGAGCUCAAAUUUGAAAUCUUCAAGGUUUUACCUUGACGAAUUGUAGUUUAAAGAAGUGUUUUCUGUUGAAGUUUCGGUAAAAGUUCUUUGGAAUAGGACAUCAUAGAGGGUGAGAAUCCCGUAUUUGACCAGUUAUUUUCCAGCUGUGUGAUACACUUUCAAAGAGUCGGAUUGUUUGGGAAUGCAGUCCAAAAUGGGUGGUAAAUUUCAUCUAAAGCUAAAUAUUGGCGAGAGACCGAUAGCGAACAAGUACCGUGAGGGAAAGACUGAAAAGAACUUUGAAAAGAGAGUUAAACAGUACGUGAAAUUGUCAAAAGGGAAGCGUUUGACACCAGUGUUGUUUUCUCGAAAAUCAAUUAAAAAUAGUUGAUUUUGUGUUGUAUUGACCUUAACAGCUUUCUUCACUCUUUUCCAUGUCUUUUUUAAUGCACUUUUCGUUUAACAAGUCAACAUCAGUUUCUUUUGUUGUAAAAGGGUCAUUGGAAGGUGGCUUUCUCUUCGGAGAAAGUGUUUAUAGCCUUUGAUCUCUGCAAUCGGAGAGACUGAGGUCUGCAGCGUAGAUCCUUCGGGGUUAGAUACAUCUGUGCUAAGCUACAGCUUUUCAUAGACAACUUGUUGACUAUGUUUAGUCUUGUGACUUACCCGCUUAUGCUAUUUUACCUACGCUUAGGAUGUUGAGCGCAUGUCUCUCUCU
Molecule: ribosomal RNA, 778 nt
Filed under: uncultured Neocallimastigales
Lineage: Eukaryota; Fungi; Neocallimastigomycota; Neocallimastigomycetes; Neocallimastigales
Description: partial large subunit ribosomal RNA
Rfam family: Eukaryotic large subunit ribosomal RNA
Source: RNAcentral